RNAcentral lists this ribosomal RNA (497 nucleotides) under uncultured bacterium. RNAcentral describes it as "partial 16S ribosomal RNA". It matches the Rfam family "Bacterial small subunit ribosomal RNA", at positions 28 to 507 of the family's 1533-position model. The record is from RNAcentral.
GACGAACGCUGGCGGCGUGCCUAAUACAUGCAAGUAGAACGCUGAAGAGAGGAGCUUGCUCUUCUUGGAUGAGUUGCGAACGGGUGAGUAACGCGUAGGUAACCUGCCUUGUAGCGGGGGAUAACUAUUGGAAAUGAUAGCUAAUACCGCAUAACAAUGGAUGACACAUGUCAUUUAUUUGAAAGGGGCAAUUGCUCCACUACAAGAUGGACCUGCGUUGUAUUAGCUAGUAGGUGAGGUAAUGGCUCACCUAGGCGACGAUACAUAGCCGACCUGAGAGGGUGAUCGGCCACACUGGGACUGAGACACGGCCCAGACUCCUACGGGAGGCAGCAGUAGGGAAUCUUCGGCAAUGGGGGCAACCCUGACCGAGCAGCGCCGCGUGAGUGAAGAAGGUUUUCGGAUCGUAAAGCUCUGUUGUAAGUCAAGAACGGGUGUGAGAGUGGAAAGUUCACACUGUGACGGUAGCUUACCAGAAAGGGACGGCUAACUACGUG